This 429-nucleotide ribosomal RNA is filed under the name Chloroflexota bacterium. RNAcentral describes it as "Chloroflexi bacterium partial 16S ribosomal RNA". It matches the Rfam family "Bacterial small subunit ribosomal RNA", at positions 355 to 776 of the family's 1533-position model. The record is from RNAcentral. Lineage: Bacteria; Bacillati; Chloroflexota.
UAGGGAAUCUUCGGCAAUGGACGAAAGUCUGACCGAGCAACGCCGCGUGAGUGAAGAAGGUUUUCGGAUCGUAAAACUCUGUUGUUAGAGAAGAACAAGGACGUUAGUAACUGAACGUCCCCUGACGGUAUCUAACCAGAAAGCCACGGCUAACUACGUGCCAGCAGCCGCGGUAAUACGUAGGUGGCAAGCGUUGUCCGGCUUUAUUGGGCGUAAAGCGAGCGCAGGCGGUUUCUUAAGUCUGAUGUGAAAGCCCCCGGCUCAACCGGGGAGGGUCAUUGGAAACUGGGAGACGUGAGUGCAGAAGAGGAGAGUGGAAUUCCAUGUGUGGCGGUGAAAUGCGUAGAUAUAUGGUGGGACACCAGUGGCGAAGGCGGCUCUCUGGUCUGUAACUGACGCUGAGGCUCGAAAGCGUGGGGAGCAAACAGG